GUGGGGAAUCUUCCGCAAUGGGCGAAAGCCUGACGGAGCAAUGCCGCGUGAACGAAGAAGGUCUUCGGAUUGUAAAGUUCUGUCCUUAUCGAAGAGAGACAUAUAGAGUAACUGCUAUAUGUAGGACGGUAGAUGAGGAGGAAGCCCCGGCUAACUACGUGCCAGCAGCCGCGGUAAUACGUAGGGGGCAAGCGUUGUCCGGAAUCACUGGGCGUAAAGGGCGCGUAGGCGGCAAUAUAAGUCAGAUGUGAAAGGUGAGGGCUCAACCCUUAGACUGCAUCUGAUACUGUAUAGCUUGAGUGUGAGAGAGGAAAGUGGAAUUCCUAGUGUAGCGGUGAAAUGCGUAGAUAUUAGGAGGAACACCAGUGGCGAAGGCGACUUUCUGGCUCAUAACUGACGCUGAGGCGCGAAAGCGUGGGGAGCAAACAGGAUUAGAAACCCUUGUAGUCC
This 450-nucleotide ribosomal RNA is filed under the name uncultured bacterium. RNAcentral describes it as "bacterial SSU rRNA". It matches the Rfam family "Bacterial small subunit ribosomal RNA", at positions 354 to 796 of the family's 1533-position model. The record is from RNAcentral.